GAUGAACGCUGGCGGCGUGCCUAAUACAUGCAAGUCGAGCGAACGGACGAGAAGCUUGCUUCUCUGAUGUUAGCGGCGGACGGGUGAGUAACACGCGGAUAACCUACCUAUAAGACUGGGAUAACUUCGGGAAACCGGAGCUAAUACCGGAUGAUAUUUUGAACCGCAUGGUUCAAAAGUGAAAGACGGUCUUGCUGUCACCUAUAGAUGGAUCCGCGCUGCAUUAGCUAGUUGGUAAGGUGACGGCUUACCAAGGCAACGAUGCAUAGCCGACCUGAGAGGGUGAUCGGCCACACUGGAGCUGAGACACGGUCCAGACUCCUACGGGAGGCAGCAGUAGGGAAUCUUCCGCAAAGGGCGAAAGCCUGACGGAGCAACGCCGCGUGAGUGAUGAAGGUCUUCGGAUCGUAAAACUCUGUUAUUAGGGAAGAACAUAUGUGUAAGUAACUGUGCACAUCUUGACGGUACCUAAUCAGAAAGCCACGGCUAACUACGUG
This 497-nucleotide ribosomal RNA is filed under the name uncultured bacterium. Its description in RNAcentral is "partial 16S ribosomal RNA". It matches the Rfam family "Bacterial small subunit ribosomal RNA", at positions 28 to 507 of the family's 1533-position model. The record is from RNAcentral.